RNAcentral lists this ribosomal RNA (433 nucleotides) under uncultured bacterium. RNAcentral describes it as "partial 16S ribosomal RNA". It matches the Rfam family "Bacterial small subunit ribosomal RNA", at positions 29 to 507 of the family's 1533-position model. The record is from RNAcentral.
AGCGAACGCUGGCGGCAGGCCUAACACAUGCAAGUCGAACGGAUCCUUCGGGAUUAGUGGCGGACGGGUGAGUAACACGUGGGAACGUGCCCUUUGGUUCGGAACAACUCAGGGAAACUUGAGCUAAUACCGGAUGUGCCCUUCGGGGGAAAGAUUUAUCGCCAUUGGAGCGGCCCGCGUCUGAUUAGCUAGUUGGUGAGGUAACGGCCCACCAAGGCGACGAUCAGUAGCUGGUCUGAGAGGAUGAUCAGCCACACUGGGACUGAGACACGGCCCAGACUCCGACGGGAGGCAGCAGUGGGGAAUCUUGCGCAAUGGGCGAAAGCCUGACGCAGCCAUGCCGCGUGAAUGAUGAAGGUCUUAGGAUUGUAAAAUUCUUUCAGCGGGGACGAUAAUGACGGUACCCGCAGAAGAAGCUCCGGCUAACUUCGUG